GGUUAAGCGACUAAGCGUACACGGUGGAUGCCCUGGCAGUCAGAGGCGAUGAAGGACGUGCUAAUCUGCGAAAAGCGCCGGCGAGGUGAUAUGAACCCUUGACCCGGCGAUGUCCGAAUGGGGAAACCCAGUGUGUUUCGACACACUAUCGUUAACUGAAUACAUAGGUUAACGAGGCGAACCGGGGGAACUGAAACAUCUAAGUACCCCGAGGAAAAGAAAUCAACCGAGAUUCCCCCAGUAGCGGCGAGCGAACGGGGAGCAGCCCGGAGUCUGAAUCAGCUUGUGUGUUAGUGGAACGGUCUGGAAAGUCCGACGGUACAGGGUGAUAGUCCCGUACACGAAAACACACUUGCUGUGAACUCGAAGAGUAGGGCGGGACACGUGGUAUCCUGUCUGAAUAUGGGGGGACCAUCCUCCAAGGCUAAAUACUCCUGACUGACCGAUAGUGAACCAGUACCGUGAGGGAAAGGCGAAAAGAACCCCGGCGAGGGGAGUGAAAAAGAACCUGAAACCGUGUACGUACAAGCAGUGGGAGCACCUUCGUGGUGUGACUGCGUACCUUUUGUAUAAUGGGUCAGCGACUUAUAUUCUGUAGCAAGGUUAACCGUAUAGGGGAGCCGAAGGGAAACCGAGUCUUAACUGGGCGUUAAGUUGCAGGGUAUAGACCCGAAACCCGGUGAUCUAGCCAUGGGCAGGUUGAAGGUUGGGUAACACUAACUGGAGGACCGAACCGACUAAUGUUGAAAAAUUAGCGGAUGACCUGUGGCUGGGGGUGAAAGGCCAAUCAAACCGGGAGAUAGCUGGUUCUCCCCGAAAGCUAUUUAGGUAGCGCCUCGUGAACUCAUCUUCGGGGGUAGAGCACUGUUUCGGCUAGGGGGCCAUCCCGGCUUACCAACCCGAUGCAAACUACGAAUACCGAAGAAUGUUAUCACGGGAGACACACGGCGGGUGCUAACGUCCGUCGUGAAGAGGGAAACAACCCAGACCGCCAGCUAAGGUCCCAAAGUCAUGGUUAAGUGGGAAACGAUGUGGGAAGGCACAGACAGCCAGGAUGUUGGCUUAGAAGCAGCCAUCAUUUAAAGAAAGCGUAAUAGCUCACUGGUCGAGUCGGCCUGCGCGGAAGAUGUAACGGGGCUAAACCAUGCACCGAAGCUGCGGCAGCGACACUAUGUGUUGUUGGGUAGGGGAGCGUUCUGUAAGCCGUUGAAGGUGUGCUGUGAGGCAUGCUGGAGGUAUCAGAAGUGCGAAUGCUGACAUAAGUAACGAUAAAGCGGGUGAAAAGCCCGCUCGCCGGAAGACCAAGGGUUCCUGUCCAACGUUAAUCGGGGCAGGGUGAGUCGACCCCUAAGGCGAGGCCGAAAGGCGUAGUCGAUGGGAAACAGGUUAAUAUUCCUGUACUUGGUGUUACUGCGAAGGGGGGACGGAGAAGGCUAUGUCAGCCGGGCGACGGUUGUCCCGGUUUAAGCAUGUAGGCGGAGGUUCCAGGUAAAUCCGGUACCUUUUAACGCUGAGGUGUGAUGACGAGGCACUACGGUGCUGAAGUGAUAAAUGCCCUGCUUCCAGGAAAAGCCUCUAAGCAUCAGGUAACACGAAAUCGUACCCCAAACCGACACAGGUGGUCAGGUAGAGAAUACCAAGGCGCUUGAGAGAACUCGGGUGAAGGAACUAGGCAAAAUGGUGCCGUAACUUCGGGAGAAGGCACGCUGAUAUGUAGGUGAAGCCCCUGCGGACGGAGCUGAAAUCAGUCGAAGAUACCAGCUGGCUGCAACUGUUUAUUAAAAACACAGCACUGUGCAAACACGAAAGUGGACGUAUACGGUGUGACGCCUGCCCGGUGCCGGAAGGUUAAUUGAUGGGGUUAGCGGCAACGCGAAGCUCUUGAUCGAAGCCCCGGUAAACGGCGGCCGUAACUAUAACGGUCCUAAGGUAGCGAAAUUCCUUGUCGGGUAAGUUCCGACCUGCACGAAUGGCGUAAUGAUGGCCAGGCUGUCUCCACCCGAGACUCAGUGAAAUUGAACUCGCUGUGAAGAUGCAGUGUACCCGCGGCAAGACGGAAAGACCCCGUGAACCUUUACUAUAGCUUGACACUGAACACUGGUCCUUGAUGUGUAGGAUAGGUGGGAGGCUUUGAAGCGUGGACGCCAGUCUGCGUGGAGCCGUCCUUGAAAUACCACCCUUUAAUGGCUGGUGUUCUAACGUAGACCCGUGAUCCGGGUUGCGGACAGUGUCUGGUGGGUAGUUUGACUGGGGCGGUCUCCUCCCAAAGAGUAACGGAGGAGCACGAAGGUUGGCUAAUCCUGGUCGGACAUCAGGAGGUUAGUGCAAUGGCAUAAGCCAGCUUGACUGCGAGCGUGACGGCGCGAGCAGGUGCGAAAGCAGGUCAUAGUGAUCCGGUGGUUCUGAAUGGAAGGGCCAUCGCUCAACGGAUAAAAGGUACUCCGGGGAUAACAGGCUGAUACCGCCCAAGAGUUCAUAUCGACGGCGGUGUUUGGCACCUCGAUGUCGGCUCAUCACAUCCUGGGGCUGAAGUAGGUCCCAAGGGUAUGGCUGUUCGCCAUUUAAAGUGGUACGCGAGCUGGGUUUAGAACGUCGUGAGACAGUUCGGUCCCUAUCUGCCGUGGGCGCUGGAGAAUUGAGGGGGGCUGCUCCUAGUACGAGAGGACCGGAGUGGACGCAUCACUGGUGUUCGGGUUGUCAUGCCAAUGGCACUGCCCGGUAGCUAAAUGCGGAAGAGAUAAGUGCUGAAAGCAUCUAAGCACGAAACUUGCCCCGAGAUGAGUUCUCCCUGAGACCUUGAGUCUCCUGAAGGAACGUUGAAGACGACGACGUUGAUAGGUCGGGUGUGUAAGCGCAGCGAUGCGUUGAGCUAACCGAUACUAAUGAACCGUGAGGCUUAACCUU
Molecule: ribosomal RNA, 2904 nt
Filed under: Enterobacter hormaechei
Lineage: Bacteria; Pseudomonadati; Pseudomonadota; Gammaproteobacteria; Enterobacterales; Enterobacteriaceae
Description: 23S ribosomal RNA
Rfam family: Bacterial large subunit ribosomal RNA
Source: RNAcentral